Molecule: microRNA, 20 nt
Filed under: Homo sapiens (human)
Lineage: Eukaryota; Metazoa; Chordata; Mammalia; Primates; Hominidae
Description: hsa-miR-4701-3p
Source: miRBase by way of RNAcentral
AUGGGUGAUGGGUGUGGUGU